UCUGCUUAAUCCUAUGGCUGCUCUUUAAUAUGUUCUAAAACCGCCAACCCUUGUUCUUACUUAUUCAUCGGCGGAGGAUAGAGCUUUUAUUUAUUGUUCUGCUUUCCUAUGAUAUGGAUUUGGUUGAUUCUCCUGUGGUAUCGACUGCCUUUGUUCGGCUGAGACUUCCGCGUCUGCGGAUUCUCUAGUAGCUGCUCUAGCGUCUGCUUCGUCGGGUGCUGAAUCGGAUGCUUUAUCUGCGCGGUUUGAAACUAUUUGGAAAAUAAAAUGCUUUGCCCAGGAAUUCUAGGUUGAA
Molecule: long non-coding RNA, 295 nt
Filed under: Lupinus angustifolius (narrow-leaved blue lupine)
Lineage: Eukaryota; Viridiplantae; Streptophyta; Magnoliopsida; Fabales; Fabaceae
Description: long non-coding RNA (LANG_LNC002624)
Source: RNAcentral